Long non-coding RNA from Cygnus olor (mute swan), 1113 nucleotides. RefSeq lists it as uncharacterized. The record is from RefSeq and is a predicted model, not a curated record. NCBI's taxonomy places the organism in Eukaryota, Metazoa, Chordata, Aves, Anseriformes, Anatidae. The transcript is spliced from 3 exons.
GCGCCCCCCCGGACCGUCCCGGUACCCCCGCAGCCUGCCCGGGUCCCUCGUCGCCCUCACAGCGGGCACGCGGCGCCCGGACGCGGGGCGGCUCUCGGGAAGGGGGGCUCGGGCGGCCGCGUGCCCCCUGCGGUAAGCGCGCUGCCCCCCGCUGCCAUCGCUGCAGGGCGAUGUAGGUAUUGGAGCUGAGGCUCUGCCCCGCUCGCUGCCUCCGAAGUUCGCCCGCACCUUUGUUCCACCCGGUUUAGCCGCAGCAGCGAUGGCGCGGGUGGAGCGGGUGCCCCCGGUGCCGGCUUUGCCCGCGGUUCUGCCCGGGUGACAGCGCCGAGCAGGGCGUUGCGGAGAGGUGCCCGCCGGCUGCGUCCCGGAGAGCUCCUGGCUGCAAACGGCUCAGGAAGCGCUGUCCUGGGGCUGGGUAAACUGCCUUCAGGGGUAACAAAGGAACAGCACCUGACACAUCUCUGAGGGGACGUGGCGUUGUGACAGGCUUGCAAUCGGAGCUGCGGGCUGGAAGAAAGAGAAAAGUGUAAAAGCAUGUUAGCAAACAUAAAAAUGAGCCAAGAAGAUGCUAGGGGGGGGGGAAGAAGAAAUCAUAAACGUGAACGUGAUGUUCCUCCUGGCUGAGGACUCCAAAUGCUCACCACUUGCUGGAUCUUGCAAAAUUACCUGGCACUUGCUAUGCAUAAACCAGAGGUCUUGGUUCUGUGUCAUUUGAUGAAGAUAUCAUCUGAUUUGCUUACCAGCAAGGGUAGAGGGAUGAGACUUGACAUUAAAUUCCACUUGCUCAAAGAAUACAUCUAUCAGAAGUCAGGAUUCCUGUCACAAGGGACAAGCACUGCAAAGUUCUAGGACUGGUGGAGUGCUGGUAAAUACAGAUGGCUCCUUUCACCAUCCCUCUACAACACUUGACCAUAAUAAUCUACUUUGUCAAAUGGAAAUAGCCAGAGCACAGAAACAUAAUGCUCUGUUUUGCUAUGUCAUCUCUGUCUCUUGGAGUUGUUGAUGAAAUUUGUGUCUGGAUAAAGAAAAUGUUUUGCUUCUUGGACUGCUGCAGGAAUGUUGAAAUAUCAUCACAAAAUGUAAGUGUCUGGAGACCUAAUUGCAUCCUCACCA